UACGUAGGUGGCAAGCGUUGUCCGGAUUUAUUGGGUUUAAAGGGUGCGUAGGCGGUUUUUUAAGUCAGUGGUGAAAUACUUCAGCUCAACUGGAGAGGUGCCAUUGAUACUGGGAGACUUGAGUACUGAUGAGGUAGGCGGAAUGGACGGUGUAGCGGUGAAAUGCUUAGAUAUCGUCCAGAACACCGAUAGCGAAGGCAGCUUACUAAGGAGUAACUGACGCUGAGGCACGAAAGUGUGGGGAUCAAACAGG
This 253-nucleotide ribosomal RNA is filed under the name uncultured bacterium. RNAcentral describes it as "partial 16S ribosomal RNA". It matches the Rfam family "Bacterial small subunit ribosomal RNA", at positions 524 to 776 of the family's 1533-position model. The record is from RNAcentral.